ACGGCCGUACCAUGCUGAAUAUACCGGUUCUCGUUAGAUCACCGAAGUUAAGCAUCAUUGGGCGCGGUCAGUAAACCACCUGGGAACACUGCGUGCCGUU
Non-coding RNA from Caerostris darwini, 100 nucleotides. The record is from the annotation of a GenBank genome assembly. NCBI's taxonomy places the organism in Eukaryota, Metazoa, Arthropoda, Arachnida, Araneae, Araneidae.